AUGUUGAGAUAUGAUCUCGAGGACCAGCUCUCGGUCAUUUACGCCGACGAAGAGGCCUACUGGCGGUUGCACGGCACCCAACGGUGGGUGCUCCAGGGCAACGCCAACACGGCCUACUUCCAGGCGAUUGCCAACGGCCGACGUCGCUGCAACUCCAUUCACUCCCUGUGGGCGGGUGAUACUCAGCUUGUUCGACCCUCGGACAUCCGCGCCCACGUAGAUGGCUUCUAUAAAGCCCUUUCACCCCCACCCCUCGGGGUGGGGCUGUGCUGGCCCCCGAUACCUGGUCGGGUGCCCAGCUUGUUUCCGCCGAGGCCAAUGCUGCUUUAG
RNAcentral lists this ribosomal RNA (330 nucleotides) under Triticum aestivum (bread wheat). RNAcentral describes it as "partial small subunit ribosomal RNA". The record is from RNAcentral. Lineage: Eukaryota; Viridiplantae; Streptophyta; Magnoliopsida; Poales; Poaceae.